RNAcentral lists this ribosomal RNA (423 nucleotides) under uncultured bacterium. RNAcentral describes it as "partial 16S ribosomal RNA". It matches the Rfam family "Bacterial small subunit ribosomal RNA", at positions 361 to 776 of the family's 1533-position model. The record is from RNAcentral.
AUAUUGGACAAUGGGGGCCACCCUGAUUCAGCCAUGCCGCGUGUGUGCAGAAGGUCUUCGGAUUGUAAAGCACGUUAAGUUGGGAGGAAGGGUUUUAGGCUAAUACGCGGAAGUAUUGACGUUACCAACAGAAUAAUCACAGGCUAACCCUGUGCCAGCAGCCGAGGUAACACAGAGUGUUCAAGCGUUAAUCGGAAUCACUGGGCGUAAAGCACGCGUAGGUGGUUCAGUAAGAUGGGUGUGAAAUCCCCGGGCUUAACCUGGGAACUGCUUUCAUAACUGCUGAGCUAGAGUACGGUAGAGGGUAGUGGAAUUUCCUGUGUAGCGGUGAAAUGCGUAGAUAUAGGAAGGAACACCAGUGGCGAAGGCGACUACCUGGACUGAUACUGACACUGAGGUGCGAAAGCGUGGGGAGCAAACAGG